AGCAGCCGCGGUAAUUCCAGCUCCAAUAGCGUAUAUUAAAGUUGUUGCAGUUAAAAAGCUCGUAGUUGAAUUUCGGGGUUCUACCGUCGGUCGGGCUACCAAGUCUGUACUGGUGUGUAGAAUUUCUACCUUCUGGGGAACCAUCAUGUUAUUAAUUUAGCGUGGUGGGAAACCAGGACCUUUACCUUGAAAAAAUUAGAGUGUUCAAAGCAGGCU
RNAcentral lists this ribosomal RNA (216 nucleotides) under uncultured Scutellospora. Its description in RNAcentral is "partial small subunit ribosomal RNA". It matches the Rfam family "Eukaryotic small subunit ribosomal RNA", at positions 569 to 786 of the family's 1831-position model. Lineage: Eukaryota; Fungi; Glomeromycota; Glomeromycetes; Diversisporales; Gigasporaceae. The record is from RNAcentral.